Molecule: ribosomal RNA, 460 nt
Filed under: uncultured bacterium
Lineage: Bacteria
Description: partial 16S ribosomal RNA
Rfam family: Bacterial small subunit ribosomal RNA
Source: RNAcentral
CCUACGGGAGGCUGCAGUGAGGAAUAUUGGUCAAUGGACGAGAGUCUGAACCAGCCAAGUAGCGUGAAGGAUGACUGCCCUAUGGGUUGUAAACUUCUUUUAUAUGGGAAUAAAAUGUUCCACGUGUGGAAUUUUGUAUGUACCAUAUGAUUCAGGAUCGGCUAACUCCGUGCCAGCAGCCGCGGUAAUACGGAGGAUCCGAGCGUUAUCCGGAUUUAUUGGGUUUAAAGGGAGCGUAGGUGGAUUGUUAAGUCAGUUGUGAAAGUUUGCGGCUCAACCGUAAAAUUGCAGUUGAAACUGGCAGUCUUGAGUACAGUAGAGGUAGGCGGAAUUCGUGGUGUAGCGGUGAAAUGCUUAGAUAUCACGAAGAACUCCGAUUGCGAAGGCAGCUUACUGGACUGCAACUGACACUGAGGCUCGAAAGUGUGGGUAUCAAACAGGAUUAGAUACCCCUGUAGUC